This 459-nucleotide ribosomal RNA is filed under the name uncultured bacterium. RNAcentral describes it as "partial 16S ribosomal RNA". It matches the Rfam family "Bacterial small subunit ribosomal RNA", at positions 338 to 795 of the family's 1533-position model. The record is from RNAcentral.
CCUACGGGAGGCAGCAGUGAGGAAUAUUGGUCAAUGGGCGUAAGCCUGAACCAGCCAAGUCGCGUGAGGGAUGAAGGUGCUAUGGAUCGUAAACCGUUUUUAUAAGGGAAUAAAGUGCGGGACGUGUCCCGUUUUGUAUGUAACUUAUGAAUAAGGAUCGGCUAAACCCGUGCCAGCAGCCGCGGCAAUACGGAGGAUGCGAGCGUUAUCCGGAUUUAUAGGGUUUAAAGGGUGCGUAGGCGGAAUGCCAAGUCAGCGGUAAAAUCGCGGGGCUCAACCUCGCUCCGCCGUUGAAACUGGCGUGCUGGAGUGGGCGAGAAGUAUGCGGAAUGCUUGGUGUAGCGGUGAAAUGCAUAGAUAUCACGCAGAACUCCGAUUGCGAAGGCAGCAUACCGGAGCCCAACUGACGCUGAAGCACGAAAGCGUGGGUAUCGAACAGGAUUAGAUACCCCAGUAGUC